AAACACCCCCAGGACCAUGGCCAGGCCUGUGAAUGGGAAGAAAUGGUCAAGAGAGUGUGGGCUGCUAGUCAGGGUCUGAAUUCUGCUUCUACCCCUAGGACCAUGUGACCCUGGACUAGUCACCUCACAGCUUUCCCCCACCAUGAAAGAAGGAGAACAAGAGUGAUGCUUUUCCUUCGUUAAGACCUAGAUUAAAUGGUGUCCUCUGCCAGGUGCCCACGGGCUUCCUCUGGACCCUAUGGUCCCACACGCUCACACCUGCUAUGCACAUGCCACCAAAGCUCCUUCUGAAAACAGCUGUGUGUGCUGCCCCGAGCUCAUGCCCUGGGUCCCCAGGCCUCUGCAGGUGGGAUCUCUGUGCCAACACCAGAUGAGACUGCCACCUGUCCCCCAACAUCUUGCUUAGGGAGGAAGGACAGAUGCCCUCUGGGAUGGCAACUUGUGGUCCCUGCAUCUGAGGGGGACAAAGGCAGGCAGAACUGAGGGUCACCACCAAGACUAUUUUCUCUGGGAAAACCUUUAAAUUCAGGCAUGCAGCAUUUCUGGUUCUACCCAGGAACAGCCCCAAAGCAAGUUCCAAGAUGAUUCCUGUAUCUGCCUUUCUUCUCCCUCUUCCCAGUUGCUCUCUGUUGCUUCCCAAAGCACCUUGCACCCAGAGUAUGGCAGCUGCCAUUGUAUUGAAAUGUAAGGGAAACAGUGAUCGGGGAUUGUAGGAAGCUUUCUGGGUAAUUUCUGUUUCUAAAGAUUGUCAACAAAACAAUAUCUCCCCUGCUCAACUGUCCCAGUUGCUCCCACGAGCAUCAAGAAUGUUUCCUCCCUGCCACCCCACCACCACCACAACCUGUCUCGUGUCAACCCCGUCCAUUCCUCUGAAGGCUGCUGCUGAGUGCUGGGAGUGUCCGGAACAUCUUGGGGAGGAUUUUGAAUUGGGUAAUUUGGGCUCCUCCAAUUUCCUAAGUUCUAUGAUGCCUAAGAUUUUGUUCUAUUGUUUCCUGCUAAAUUGAUGAACAAAUCCCCUCUCCCACCAGCUCUGGGCUUCAUAAGAUGACAGUAGGGACAGGUGCUGAAAGUGCUUCCGUGGAGAGCGAGGGAGGAGACGUGUGACCGCCCCCACCCCACCCUCGAGGGCACGUGCUUACAGAGCUAUGGCAACGCAUGUGUGAGCUCCUCUAAAGCCCCUGGAAAUCAAAUCUGGUGCCGUUGUUGGGUUUGGACCUGGAGUGUGUGCAGCACAGCAGCACAGCUGGCGUUAGGGACAAUCAGGCCAACAAGGUGUCCUACCGUGACCCAGAUGAUGGAGGAAACAGCAUCCCCCAUCCUUCCGUGUGCCUUGUCCCACUGAGCAUGUCCCCCAGGCCAGCUCCUGGUCUCCCCCGUGGCCCUGUGGGGUGCAGGGUCUGCAGAGGGCCUGCGGUGCAUCCAGAGAGUUGGGUGUUCCUUCUCGCGGGAGAGAACAGAGCUGCCGUGGAGCAGCACACAGGAAACUUGGCUGCAUAUGGCUGAAAGAAAAAGAAACCUGCGCAGGCUCGAGUCUGACUCCAGCUCCAGGACCCUGGAAAAGAACUCUGGAGACAGUCAAAGGAUCAGUGGGUGCCCGGGUGGGGGGACAGGGCAGGAACAGGUGGAGCACAGAGGGGUUUUAGGGCUGCCACUCUAUUCUGUCUGAUACUACAGUGGUGGACACGUCAUUAUACAUCUGUCCAAAUCCAGAAGAGGCACAGCCCAGGAGUGGACCUGAGCUUGAAGCACGGAUUGGGGGGUGGAUGAUGGCAGGUAGGGCAGAGUGAAGUCAGCACCUCCUCCAGGGAGCCUUCCCUGACUCUCGCCCUGCCAUGGCCUCCUGCCAAGAAUCUGCAGCCAACCUUGCUUCUCCCCUGGGCCAACUCUCCCCGGACUAAAGGGUGACUGCGGUUUCCUGAUUCUGAACCAGCAAGCCCUUAAGGGCCCUGGGGUGUGUGCCUUAGACCCUUCUGUCCCCUGCUGUAGAGCAUGCGGUAGCGUCCAUGGAACACCCGCUGCGCCCUGCUGAUGAUUGGGUGGGCUUGUACGGGAUGAAGGAUGCCCAGUGCCAGGCACAUUGAUGUGCUCAGCUGUGGUCCGCCGCUGCUGCCGCCGUGCCCAACCCUGGUAACAGAGCCCAGGGACCUGAGCUGCCAUCAGGACACAUGACCAGACCCCACGCUGUGUGCUUUACUCCCUCCCCGCCUUGUCCAGGAUGGCAGGCUGAGCCCCCUUCCCAGGGGCCAGCUGGGCAGCAGAGCCCUCACCUGGCCCUGCCUGGGGGUCUCCUGGGCUUCCAGGAGGUCUCUGAAUGGCGGUCCUCCCCACAAGGGGCAUCUUCCUUCUCAAAGUUGCCUCUGUCUCCUGGAUGCUCCCUUUUGGCAUGUGAAACUUCCCGUUUACUUGGUGACUCAUCCAAGAGGCAUUAAGUGGCUGUCACUCUCUUCCUUCAGAGCUUCCCGUGGCUGCCAGCAUUCCUCAGCCUGCACGCCAGGCCAAGGCCAGCACCCUCAGCUCUCCCUCUGCUCAGUCUCCACGUGGCCUGCUCUCCUGCCUCUUUCCUAUAAGGAUGAUGUAACUACAUUAAGGACCUCCUGGAUACCGGGAUGACAGCCCCUUCUCAAGAUCCUCAGCUUAAUCUCACACCUGCAAAAAUCUUUUUUCCAAAUAAAAUCACAUUUGCGGGUUCCCAGAGCUAGGGCAUUAUUUGGCCUAGUACACCAAUGGUCCACAAAGGCCCCAGCUCUGCUCUCUUCAGAAGAUAACUCACCGGGCCUGUCUCCAUUUUUCUGUGGAAGCUUGGCGUAGCCCAAUGUCUGGAACUGGCAAGAGGUCAGUUGAGUAAGUGGAAGUGAGUUUUAAAUAGAAACUGACAAGGAAGUGGGUCAAGGUCAUGAACGCAGAUUCUUAAAGUUGUGGGAAGAAAUCAGAAUGAGGUUAGGAGAGGCAUAUUUGGAGGUCACACUAAAGAGUCCUAGAAGCAAGAAAGAGCUUGCACGAGGGCAGUGCAUCCGUGAUGCAUUCAUUCAUUUAUUCAUUUGAUGACCAACAGAGGAGAACAGGGAGGGCUGGGCCGGCGGGGAGCGAGGGCAGGCCUGGAGAGAUGGCACUCAACGGCCAGUCUUUCUCCCACCAGAGCUGAGCUUCAGUAAGUCCUCCUGUAUUUUCACCAGUCAUUGCUUUAAGUAUUUAGCUGCUAGAGUUUCCGGCACGUUGAGAUUUAUGAUGAUUAAAUCUUUGUGGUCUGUGCCUCGGACUGUUACAUAAUACUCUUUGUUCCUGUGAAUUUGCUCUGCCUCUGGGUCUUCCUUAUCCAAUAUCAGUUUGCCAUUCUUGUUGCUUUUCUUUUUUUUUUUAAUUCCACUUUUCCAAUGUCCACUUGGAACCUCCACUUGCCAACAUUUUUGGUGUGUUUCCUGUAAACAGCACCUAGCUGGUUUUGAGUGUUUCACACUGUCUUACGACGUUUGCUGGGAAAUUCAGCCCAUACCCAUUUAUUAUGAAAGCUGAUCUCUACAGUUAUUAAUUUCUUCUCACUUUAUGUUUCCUUUUGCUAAACUGUAUUGUUAUCCUGCUAUUUCCUCUCUUUUACCCCUUCCUUAAUUUUGGGUCUGUGAACCAAAGUUAUCCAUAAAAGUAACGUUUGUGUUUGGGAA
Marmota flaviventris (yellow-bellied marmot) is the source of this 3656-nucleotide non-coding RNA. The record is from RefSeq and is a predicted model, not a curated record. Lineage: Eukaryota; Metazoa; Chordata; Mammalia; Rodentia; Sciuridae.